AAUAAACGCUGGCGGCGUGCCUAACACAUGCAAGUCGAGCGAGAAAGCUCCUUCGGGAGUUAGUAAAGCGGCGAACGGGUGAGCAACACGUGAGAAUCUACCCUUUAGUGAAGAAUACCCUCGAGAAAUCGAGGCUAAUACUGCAUACGUCCCUUCGGGGAGAAAGAUGGCCUCUUUGCUAUCGCUAAAGGAUGAGCUUGCGUACUAUUAGCUAGUUAGCGGGGUAAAGGCCCACCAAGGCAAUGAUGGUUAACCGGCCUGAGAGGGUGUACGGUCACACUGGAACUUAGACACGGUCCAGACUCCUACGGGAGGCAGCAGUGAGGAAUCUUGCGCAAUGGGCGAAAGCCUGACGCAGCGACGCCGCGUGGAGGAUGACGGUUUUCGGAUUGUAAACUCCUGUUAAGCGGGAAGAAAGCCUUGUUUCUAAUACAAGCAAGGUAUGACGGUACCGCUAGAGAAAGCACCGGCUAACUUCGUGCCAGCAGCCGCGGUAAGGUAGA
This 503-nucleotide ribosomal RNA is filed under the name uncultured bacterium. Its description in RNAcentral is "bacterial SSU rRNA". It matches the Rfam family "Bacterial small subunit ribosomal RNA", at positions 29 to 529 of the family's 1533-position model. The record is from RNAcentral.